Molecule: ribosomal RNA, 107 nt
Filed under: Geobacillus sp. 44B
Lineage: Bacteria; Bacillati; Bacillota; Bacilli; Caryophanales; Anoxybacillaceae
Source: RNAcentral
AUAGCGGAGAGGAAACACCCGUUCCCAUCCCGAACACGGAAGUUAAGCUCUCCAGCGCCGAUGGUAGUUGGGGCCAGCGCCCCUGCAAGAGUAGGUCGUUGCUAGGC